AUUGAACGCUGGCGGCAUGCCUUACACAUGCAAGUCGAACGGCAGCACGGGAGCAAUCCUGGUGGCGAGUGGCGAACGGGUGAGUAAUAUAUCGGAACGUGCCCAGUCGUGGGGGAUAACGUAACGAAAGCUACGCUAAUACCGCAUACGAUCUAUGGAUGAAAGCGGGGGAUCGCAAGACCUCGCGCGAUUGGAGCGGCCGAUAUCAGAUUAGGUAGUUGGUGAGGUAAAGGCCCACCAAGCCGACGAUCUGUAGCUGGUCUGAGAGGACGACCAGCCACACUGGGACUGAGACACGGCCCAGACUCCUACGGGAGGCAGCAGUGGGGAAUUUUGGACAAUGGGCGCAAGCCUGAUCCAGCAAUGCCGCGUGCAGGAUGAAGGCCUUCGGGUUGUAAACUGCUUUUGUACGGAACGAAACGGCGAGCUCUAAUACAGUUUGCUAAUGACGGUACCGUAAGAAUAAGCACCGGCUAACUACGUGCCAGCCGCCGCGGUAA
Molecule: ribosomal RNA, 500 nt
Filed under: uncultured bacterium
Lineage: Bacteria
Description: partial 16S ribosomal RNA
Rfam family: Bacterial small subunit ribosomal RNA
Source: RNAcentral